CACACCUUUAUCGCGCAUCCACAUCUCACACCUGUGCACAACCUGUAGCUUGGGAUGAUUACAAUUCUGGAAACGGUAUUGAAAGCCCUUGCUAUGAAUUUUUAAACAACCGUAUUAAAAGUUAUAGAAUGUUAUGGCGUGUAACAGCGCAAAUAAAUAUACAACUUUCAGCAACGGAUCUCUUGGCUCUCGCAUCGAUGAAGAACGCAGCGAAAUGCGAUAAGUAAUGUGAAUUGCAGAAUUCAGUGAAUCAUCGAAUCUUUGAACGCACCUUGCGCUCCUUGGUAUUCUGAGGAGCAUGCCUGUUUGAGUGUCAUGAAGCUCUCAACUGCUUUAGCUUGUUAUGGUUGAAGUGAAGUUGGAUUUGGAGGAAUGAUUAUUGCUGGCGUGACCUUUUCAGGUUGCUUGUUAGCUCCUCUUAAAUGGAUGAACUUUCCAGUAGUAAAAUAACACCAAUGUGAUAAUUAUCUACGUUGGAUGUGCUUUUUACAAGGAAAGAUAUAUCUGUCUUGAAGGCAAACACCUCUUGACGAAACAAAUGACAAAUUUGACCUCAAAUCAGGUAGGACUAC
This 572-nucleotide ribosomal RNA is filed under the name uncultured Pseudotomentella. RNAcentral's name for it is "eukaryotic LSU rRNA". The stretch from base 163 to 316 matches the Rfam family "5.8S ribosomal RNA". Lineage: Eukaryota; Fungi; Basidiomycota; Agaricomycetes; Thelephorales; Thelephoraceae. The record is from RNAcentral.